AGGAAUCCCACAACAGAAGAACCACAGAUGGAAAUCAGAGCUUGUUUCAACGUUCGAAAAACAAGACAUUGUCCUGCAUGUGUGUUGAUCAUUGAUGAAAAGAACAGGAUGUGCUGUAUUAAUCCUGAAGCUCCUUGGCUCAGUGCAAAGUUAGAACAUCUAGAAAAGAAGGGGGUAAAGUGUAAAAAUAAACACUGAAAACCAGGCAGCUGUGAACUUUAUCCAGAGUUUGAUCUUCAGCAUCCACACUAAAAAGAAGAUAGGGGGUUUCCAUUCAGACGAUCUAUGCUACGCUACACAAUCCUGCUUCUUUCAUUCAUUUUCUUUUCGGGUUAGUCCCUUUAUUAAUCUGGGGUCACCACAGCAGAAUGAACUGCCACUAGGUAUUUUCUGCCAUUUUAUUUAUUCAAUUUUUUGGGUAAUUGUUUUUAAUGGGGAGAUAAUUUGAUUUUCACCAUUUACAGGAGUAGAUUGUGAUUUUAUACCCAUCUGAAUCCAGAAUGUCUUUUUUUUUCUUAUCUGACGACCAGUGUAAAAACCUUUAAAUAACUUCAGACCCAUUUCCAGUCUUCCUUUUUAAUCUAAAAUCCAUCCUAGAACACUAUAGGCACAAUUAGUUAAAAUUAUCUAUA
Danio aesculapii is the source of this 632-nucleotide long non-coding RNA. RefSeq lists it as uncharacterized. The transcript is spliced from 3 exons. Lineage: Eukaryota; Metazoa; Chordata; Actinopteri; Cypriniformes; Danionidae. The record is from RefSeq and is a predicted model, not a curated record.